GUGAACGCCCUCACGGGCUUAUACUAUUCCAACCUCUGUGAACCGUGCCCUUCGGGGCUAUUUUACAAACAUGGUGUAAUGAACGUCAUAUAUCAUAACAAAACA
RNAcentral lists this unclassified non-coding RNA (105 nucleotides) under soil metagenome. Its description in RNAcentral is "partial internal transcribed spacer 1". The record is from RNAcentral.